UACGAAGGGGGCUAGCGUUGCUCGGAAUUACUGGGCGUAAAGGGCGCGUAGGCGGAUAUUUAAGUUGGGGGUGAAAUCCCGGGGCUCAACCUCGGAAUUGCCUUCAAAACUGGAUAUCUUGAGUUCGGGAGAGGUGAGUGGAACUCCGAGUGUAGAGGUGAAAUUCGUAGAUAUUCGGAAGAACACCAGUGGCGAAGGCGGCGACCUGGGUAGAUACUGACGCUGAGGCGCGAAAGCGUGGGGAGCAAACAGG
Molecule: ribosomal RNA, 253 nt
Filed under: uncultured bacterium
Lineage: Bacteria
Description: partial 16S ribosomal RNA
Rfam family: Bacterial small subunit ribosomal RNA
Source: RNAcentral